Molecule: ribosomal RNA, 484 nt
Filed under: uncultured bacterium
Lineage: Bacteria
Description: partial 16S ribosomal RNA
Rfam family: Bacterial small subunit ribosomal RNA
Source: RNAcentral
AUUGAACGCUGGCGGCAUGCUUUACACAUGCAAGUCGAACGGCAGCGCGGGCGUCUGCCUGUCGGCGAGUGUCGAACGGGUGAGUAAUGCAUCGGAACGUGCCCAGUGGUGGGGGAGAGCCCGUCGAAAGCCGGAUUAAUACCACAUACGACCUGAGGGUGAAAGCUGAGAACCGAAAAACCGCUCGCUAUUCGAGCGUACGAUGUCGGAUUAGCUAGUUGGUGGGGUAAAGGCUUACCAAGGCGACGAUCCGUAGCUGGUCUGAGAGGACGACCAGCCACACUGGGACUGAGACACGGCCCAGACUCCUCCGGGAGGCAGCAGUGGGGAAUUUUGGACAAUGGGGGAAACCCUGCUCCAGCAAUGCCGCGUGCGGGAAGAAGGCCUUCGGGUUGUAAACCGCUUUUGUUCGGGAAGAAAUCCUCUGGGCUAAUACCCCGGGGGGAUGACGGUACCGGACGAAUAAGCACCGGCUAACUACGUG